AGAUUAAGUUAUUAAGGGCGCACGGUGGAUGCCUUGGCACUAGAAGCCGACGAAGGACGUUACUAACGACGAUAUGCUUUGGGGAGCUGUAAGUAAGCUUUGAUCCAGAGAUUUCCGAAUGGGGAAACCCAGCACGAGUUAUGUCGUGUUAUCUGCAUGUGAAUACAUAGCAUGCAAGAAGGCAGACCCGGAGAACUGAAACAUCUUAGUACCCGGAGGAAGAGAAAGAAAAAUCGAUUCCCUGAGUAGCGGCGAGCGAAACGGGAAGAGCCCAAACCAAUAAGCUUGCUUAUUGGGGUUGUAGGACACUCUGUACGGAGUUACAAAAGAAUUUGUUAGACGAAUAACCUGGAAAGGUUAAUCAGAGAAGGUAAUAAUCCUGUAGUCGAAAACGAAUUCUCUCUUGAGUGGAUCCUGAGUACGACGGAGCACGUGAAAUUCCGUCGGAAUCUGGGAGGACCAUCUCCUAAGGCUAAAUACUCUCUAGUGACCGAUAGUGAACCAGUACCGUGAGGGAAAGGUGAAAAGUACCCCGGAAGGGGAGUGAAAGAGAACUUGAAACCGUGUGCUUACAAGUAGUCAGAGCCCGUUAAUGGGUGAUGGCGUGCCUUUUGUAGAAUGAACCGGCGAGUUACGAUCUGAUGCAAGGUUAAGCAGAAAAUGUGGAGCCGUAGCGAAAGCGAGUCUGAAUAGGGCGAAUGAGUAUUUGGUCGUAGACCCGAAACCAGGUGAUCUACCCUUGGUCAGGUUGAAGUUCAGGUAACACUGAAUGGAGGACCGAACCGACUUACGUUGAAAAGUGAGCGGAUGAACUGAGGGUAGCGGAGAAAUUCCAAUCGAACUUGGAGAUAGCUGGUUCUCUCCGAAAUAGCUUUAGGGCUAGCCUCAAGUGAUGAUUAUUGGAGGUAGAGCACUGUUUGGACGAGGGGCCCCUCUCGGGUUACCGAAUUCAGACAAACUCCGAAUGCCAAAUAAUUUAACUUGGGAGUCAGAAUGUGGGUGAUAAGGUCCAUAUUCGAAAGGGAAACAGCCCAGACCACCAGCUAAGGUCCCAAAAUAUAUGUUAAGUGGAAAAGGAUGUGGCGUUGCCCAGACAACUAGGAUGUUGGCUUAGAAGCAGCCAUCAUUUAAAGAGUGCGUAAUAGCUCACUAGUCGAGUGACACUGCGCCGAAAAUGUACCGGGGCUAAACAUAUUACCGAAGCUGUGGAUUGUCCUUUGGACAAUGGUAGGAGAGCGUUCUAAGGGCGUUGAAGCAUGAUCGCAAGGACAUGUGGAGCGCUUAGAAGU
Molecule: ribosomal RNA, 1289 nt
Filed under: Staphylococcus pseudintermedius
Lineage: Bacteria; Bacillati; Bacillota; Bacilli; Caryophanales; Staphylococcaceae
Description: bacterial LSU rRNA
Rfam family: Bacterial large subunit ribosomal RNA
Source: RNAcentral